AAGUCGUAACAAGGUUUCCGUAGGUGAACCUGCGGAAGGAUCAUUAUUGAAUGAACUUGGAGUUGGUUGUCGCUGGCUGUCAUUCGCAGCAUGUGCACGCCUUCUCCUUUCAUCCACACACCCCUGUGCACUUGUGAGACUGGGGACUGUAAAAAGUCUUCAGUCUGCUAAACUCAUAUACAAACCCAAUUUAAUUGAACUGAAUGUAAAUUGAUGUAACGCAUCAUUGAACUAAGUUUCAACAACGGAUCUCUUGGCUCUC
This 262-nucleotide unclassified non-coding RNA is filed under the name Ceratobasidium sp. Its description in RNAcentral is "partial internal transcribed spacer region". The stretch from base 1 to 46 matches the Rfam family "Eukaryotic small subunit ribosomal RNA", at positions 1786 to 1831 of the family's 1831-position model. Lineage: Eukaryota; Fungi; Basidiomycota; Agaricomycetes; Cantharellales; Ceratobasidiaceae. The record is from RNAcentral.